CAGUGUCACAGCUCUUUUAUAAUUUGUCUAGCAGGUUUUCUGGUUCUUCACGAGAACUCCU
Molecule: small nuclear RNA, 61 nt
Filed under: Rhinopithecus bieti (black snub-nosed monkey)
Lineage: Eukaryota; Metazoa; Chordata; Mammalia; Primates; Cercopithecidae
Also listed under: 1 other name
Description: U7 small nuclear RNA
Rfam family: U7 small nuclear RNA
About the family: Animal histone pre-mRNAs are spliced by a different mechanism than nuclear pre-mRNAs and self-splicing introns. This processing involves the U7 snRNP, which contains only one RNA species: U7. The 5' end of U7 RNA is thought to base-pair to a conserved spacer element downstream of the cleavage site in histone pre-mRNA.
Source: Rfam by way of RNAcentral